AUUGAACGCUGGCGGCAGGCCUAACACAUGCAAGUCGGACGAGCGGCGGACGGGUGAGUAAUGUAUGGGGAUCUGCCUGAUGGAGGGGGAUAACUACUGGAAACGGUAGCUAAUACCGCAUACCAUCGGAUGAGCCCAGAUGGGAUUAGCUAGUAGGUGGGGUAAAGGCUCACCUAGGCCACGAUGCCUAGCUGGCCUGAGAGGAUGACCGGCCACACUGGGACUGAGACACGGCCCAGACUCCUACGGGAGGAAGCAGUGGGGAAGCUUGUGCAAUGGGGGAAAGCCUGACCGAGCCAUGCCGCGUGAGUGAAGAAGGCUUUCGGGUUGUAAAGUUCUGUUGUCAGGGAGGCGGUAUCUACACAGAAAGCCACGGCUAACUACGUGCCAGCAGCCGCGGUAAUUC
Molecule: ribosomal RNA, 406 nt
Filed under: uncultured bacterium
Lineage: Bacteria
Description: partial 16S ribosomal RNA
Rfam family: Bacterial small subunit ribosomal RNA
Source: RNAcentral